RNAcentral lists this ribosomal RNA (961 nucleotides) under Lophiostoma compressum. Its description in RNAcentral is "partial large subunit ribosomal RNA". It matches the Rfam family "Eukaryotic large subunit ribosomal RNA", at positions 1 to 979 of the family's 3401-position model. Lineage: Eukaryota; Fungi; Ascomycota; Dothideomycetes; Pleosporales; Lophiostomataceae. The record is from RNAcentral.
AUUGACCUCGGAUCAGGUAGGGAUACCCGCUGAACUUAAGCAUAUCAAUAAGCGGAGGAAAAGAAACCAACAGGGAUUGCCCUAGUAACGGCGAGUGAAGCGGCAACAGCUCAAAUUUGAAAUCUGGCUCCUUUGGGGUCCGAGUUGUAAUUUGUAGAGGGUGCUUUGGCGUUGGUUGUGGUCUAAGUUCCUUGGAACAGGACGUCACAGAGGGUGAGAAUCCCGUACGUGGCCGCCAGCCUCCGCCGUGUAAAGCCCCUUCGAUGAGUCGAGUUGUUUGGGAAUGCAGCUCUAAAUGGGAGGUAAAUUUCUUCUAAAGCUAAAUAUUUGCCAGAGACCGAUAGCGCACAAGUAGAGUGAUCGAAAGAUGAAAAGCACUUUGGAAAGAGAGUCAAAAAGCACGUGAAAUUGUUGAAAGGGAAGCGCUUGCAGCUAGACGUGCCUUGGGUUGAUCAGCCGGACUUUUGCCCGGUGCACUCUUCCUUUGGCAGGCCAGCAUCAGUUUGGGCGGCUGGAUAAAGGUCUGUUAAACGUGACUUCCUUCGGGGAGAGCUUAUAGGGCAGACGACAUGCAGCCAGCCUGAACUGAGGUCCGCGCAUCUGCUAGGAUGCUGGCGUAAUAGCUGUAAGCGGCCCGUCUUGAAACACGGACCAAGGAGUCUAACAUCUAUGCGAGUGUUUGGGUGUCAAGCCCGAGCGCGUAAUGAAAGUAAACGGAGGUGGGAACCUUUUAGGUGCACCAUCGACCGAUCCUGAUGUCUUCGGAUGGAUUUGAGUAAGAGCAUAGCUGUUGGGACCCGAAAGAUGGUGAACUAUGCCUGAAUAGGGUGAAGCCAGAGGAAACUCUGGUGGAGGCUCGCAGCGGUUCUGACGUGCAAAUCGAUCGUCAAAUUUGGGCAUAGGGGCGAAAGACUAAUCGAACUAUCUAGUAGCUGGUUCCUGCCGAAGUUUCCCUCAGGAA